GCGGCCGUGGUCUAGUAUGGUCAGGACCGAAGCUUCCCAAGCUUCUAACCCGAGUCGGUUCCAAUGAAAGAAUCGCGGGAAUUCAAAUCCCGGCGGCCGCACCA
This 104-nucleotide transfer RNA is filed under the name Candidatus Thorarchaeota archaeon. RNAcentral describes it as "tRNA-Gly". It matches the Rfam family "tRNA". Rfam says of the family: Transfer RNA (tRNA) molecules are approximately 80 nucleotides in length. Their secondary structure includes four short double-helical elements and three loops (D, anti-codon, and T loops). The record is from RNAcentral. Lineage: Archaea; Promethearchaeati; Candidatus Thorarchaeota.